This 439-nucleotide ribosomal RNA is filed under the name uncultured bacterium. RNAcentral's name for it is "partial 16S ribosomal RNA". It matches the Rfam family "Bacterial small subunit ribosomal RNA", at positions 339 to 795 of the family's 1533-position model. The record is from RNAcentral.
CUACGGGCUGCAGCAGUGGGGAAUAUUGCACAAUGGGGGAAACUCUGAUGCAGCAACGCCGCGUGGAGGAUGACACUUUUCGGAGCGUAAACUCCUUUUAUAUAGGAAGAAGAUGACGGUACUAUAUGAAUAAGCGCCGGCUAACUCCGUGCCAGCAGCCGUGGUAAUACGGAGGGCGCAAGCGUUACUCGGAAUCACUGGGCGUAAAGAGCGUGUAGGCGGAUUAAAAAGUCAGAAGUGAAAUCCUAUAGCUUAACUAUAGAACUGCUUCUGAAACUCUUAAUCUAGAAUAUGGGAGAGGUAGAUGGAAUUUCUGGUGUAGGGGUAAAAUCCGUAGAGAUCAGAAGGAAUACCGAUUGCGAAGGCGAUCUACUAGAACAUUAUUGACGCUGAGACGCGAAAGCGUGGGGAGCAAACAGGAUUAGAUACCCCGGUAGUC